Molecule: small RNA, 25 nt
Filed under: Vibrio cholerae O1 biovar El Tor str. N16961
Lineage: Bacteria; Pseudomonadati; Pseudomonadota; Gammaproteobacteria; Vibrionales; Vibrionaceae
Source: RNAcentral
UCCUCUGGCUCGGCAGCGGCAAGAU